GUGUGGUGUAAUGGUUAGAGUUUUGGACCAGAACUCAAGGAGACCUGGGUUCAAAUCCCUGCUGAGCCA
This is a non-coding RNA of Podarcis lilfordi (Lilford's wall lizard), 69 nucleotides long. Lineage: Eukaryota; Metazoa; Chordata; Lepidosauria; Squamata; Lacertidae. The record is from the annotation of a GenBank genome assembly.